GUACACGCUGUGACUAGCAUAUCAAUAAGCGGAGGAAAAGAAACUAACAAGGAUUCCCCUAGUAACGGCGAGUGAAGCGGGAAGAGCUCAAAUUUGAAAUCUUAAAGGGUUUCCCUUUACGAAUUGCAGUUUAAAGAAGUGUUUUCUGUUGAGGUUUUGGUAAAAGUUCUUUGGAAUAGGACAUCAUAGAGGGUGAGAAUCCCGUAUUUGACCUUUACUUUCAACUUUGUGAUACACUUUCAAAGAGUCGGAUUGUUUGGGAAUGCAGUCCAAAAUGGGUGGUAAAUUUCAUCUAAGGCUAAAUAUUGGCGAGAGACCGAUAGCGAACAAGUACCGUGAGGGAAAGAUGAAAAGAACUUUGAAAAGAGAGUUAAACAGUACGUGAAAUUGUCAAAAGGGAAGCGUUUGACACCAGUGUUGUUUUUCUGAAAAUCAAUUAAAGAACUGUUUAUGCUAAGCUGUUUAGACUUUAUCAGCUAUACUGUUUAGUUUUGAGCUUUUCUUUAAUGCACUUUUCAGUUAACAAGUCAACAUCAAUUUCUUUUGCUGUAAAAAAGCUUGAGGAAGGUGGCUUGAGAUUCGUCUUAAGUGUUUAUAGCCUCUUGCCUAUGCAGUCGGAGAGAUUGAGGUCUGCAGCGUAGAUCCUUCGGGGCUAAAUGCAUUUGUGCUAAGUUAUAGCAUUUUAUAGACAACUUGUUGACUAUGAUUUGUCUUGUAGCUUACUCGCUUAUGUUAUUUUACCUACGCUUAGGAUGUUGACGCGCGUGUGUGCGUG
This 775-nucleotide ribosomal RNA is filed under the name uncultured Neocallimastigales. Its description in RNAcentral is "partial large subunit ribosomal RNA". It matches the Rfam family "Eukaryotic large subunit ribosomal RNA", at positions 22 to 639 of the family's 3401-position model. Lineage: Eukaryota; Fungi; Neocallimastigomycota; Neocallimastigomycetes; Neocallimastigales. The record is from RNAcentral.